UCGACGGCAUGACCACGAUCAUGGAGAUAUUUGUCAAUGGUUACAGAGACAGCGUCUAUGAUCUCAGAGACAUCGUCCACGAUCACAAAGACAUUGUUCAUGAUCGCAGAGACUUUGUCUAUAAUCUCAGAGACAUUGUCCGCGAUCACAGAGACGUAGUCCACGAUCACAGAGAGUCUUCCUACAAUGAAGAAGUUCUUUGAGACCAGGACAGAGGCCUCCAGGAGGAGGAGACGACGGCAUCACCUCAAGAGGACAACAAAUGAAGAUGUUAGAAGACUGAAGACUAAUAAACAUAUACUCAUAUGUGAUCAAAAUUACAUUAAAUGUUGGGUGAGAGAAUAAAACAAAGUGCCUCCAAACCA
Lates calcarifer (barramundi perch) is the source of this 365-nucleotide long non-coding RNA. RefSeq lists it as uncharacterized. The transcript is spliced from 2 exons. Lineage: Eukaryota; Metazoa; Chordata; Actinopteri; Centropomidae. The record is from RefSeq and is a predicted model, not a curated record.